RNAcentral lists this ribosomal RNA (1602 nucleotides) under Triticum aestivum (bread wheat). Its description in RNAcentral is "partial small subunit ribosomal RNA". The record is from RNAcentral. Lineage: Eukaryota; Viridiplantae; Streptophyta; Magnoliopsida; Poales; Poaceae.
AUGGAGCUUACAUUGACAUUGCCCAUGGCCAUGGCCUUGGUCACCAUCCUCAUCGUACUCGUCCUCAGCUCCGUCUUCUCACGGCGCCGCCAGAGUGAGGCCCUGAACCUCCCGCCGGGACCGCGGGGCUGGCCAGUGCUCGGCAGCCUCGGCGCCCUCGCGGGCGCGCUCCCGCCGCACCGCGCUCUGGCUGCGCUCGCGGCGCGCCACGGCCCGCUCAUGCACCUCCGUCUUGGUUCCUACCACGCCGUCGUCGCCUCCUCCGCCGAUGCCGCCCGGCUCGUCCUCAAGACACACGACCUCGCCUUCGCCGACCGUCCGUGCACCGCUGCCGGCGAGCACGCCGCGUACGGGUACCUUGGUAUCGUGCACACCCCGUAUGGCGCAUACUGGCGUAUGGCGCGCAGGCUCUGCGCCACGGAGCUCUUCUCCCCGCGCCGCGUCGACUCGUACGAGUAUAUUCGGAAGCAGGAGCUCCGGGCGCUCGUGUGUGGCCUGUUCGAAUGCCGCGGCCGUGCCGUUGCGGUCCGGCAGCACCUGGCGGACGCCACGCUGCGGAAUGUCCUGCGCAUGUCGAUCGGGGAGAAGUGGUCGGGCUGCUACGGCAGCCCUGAGGGUGAGGAGUUCCGGCGAACGCUUGAUGAAGCGUUCGCGGUGACCGGAGCGGUGAGCAACGUCGGCGAGUGGGUGCCAUGGCUCGGGUGGCUCGACGUGCAGGGCUGCGUCCGGAGGAUGAAGAGGUUGAGCAAGGUGUACGAUCGGUUCCUCGAGAGGAUUCUCGAUGAGCACGACGAGGAGCGGCGCCAGGUGGCGAUGGCUACCGGAACUGGCCACGGCGAGUCCGCUGCAGCGAGGGACUUGGUGGACGUGCUGCUGCAGCUCGCCGAGGAGGAAGGCGAGACGGCUGGGACGUCGUCAACAGAAGCAAGGCUCACGCGUGACGGCGUCAAGGCCUUUGUCCAGGACAUCAUCGCCGGUGGCACGGAGAGCUCUGCGGUGACCAUGGAGUGGACCAUGUCGGAGCUCUUGCGCCGGCCGGAUGCCGCAGCCGCCGCCACCGAGGAGCUCGACCGCGUGGUGGGCCGCAGCCGGUGGGUCGAAGAAAGCGACCUGGCCCGCCUCCCCUACAUCGACGCCGUGGUGAAGGAAACAAUGCGGCUGCACCCGGUGGGCCCGCUUCUAGUCCCGCACAUGGCUCGGGAGGACACACUGGUCACCGGCUACGACGUCCCCGCCGGCGCGCGCGUGCUGGUGAACGUGUGGGCCAUUGCGCGAGACCCGGCGUCGUGGCCCGACCGGCCCGACGAGUUCCGGCCGGAGCGCUUCGCCGGGAGCGCCGUGGACGUUCGUGGGCAGCACUUCGAGCUGCUGCCGUUCGGUGCCGGGCGGCGGAUAUGCCCGGCGUACGGGCUGGCGAUGAAGGUGAUAGGCGCCGGCCUGGCCAACCUGCUGCAAGGAUUCGCGUGGCGGCUGCCCGAGGGGGUCUCGCCGGAGGACCUGAGCAUGGAGGAGCAUGUCGGGCUGUCGACGCGCAGGAAGGUGCCACUCGUCGCCGUACCGGAGCCCAGGCUGCCGGCGCAUCUCUACACCGCCAUGACCUGA